AUGUCAGGAAGGUCUCCUUCACAUGGUCAUUUAGGAUCUCAGAUUCUUUGUUCUAAACUUUUUAUUUUAUAUUGGAGGAUAGCCAAUUAACAAGGUUGUAAUGGUUUCAGGUGGACUGCAAAGGGACUCGGCCAUACAUAUACAUGUGUCCAUUCUCCCCAAACCCCUCUCCCAUCCAGGCUGCCACAUAACACUGAGCGGAGUUCCCUGUGCUGCACAAAUGUAUCCCCUCAGAAUGGAUAUAGAAUUCCUAGCACUGAUGGAAUUCUGAGAUGGAAGCUACCUUUGAGAUUAUGGGAUCUUCCUGAUGCAGGAAUCCAGCACGCGUCUCCUGCAUCGGCAGCGGGAUUCUUCACCACUGAGCCACCUGGGAAGCCCUUAUAUAAUGGAUGCUUUGUCUUCGUCCCUAGUGCCUUGCCGGCUGUGCUGAAACAGUCAGAGCCCAUCGGACCACACUGCGUCUGGAGUGCUCGUGGCAGCCUUUUUUCCUGACCCACCCUUAAGUCUCACCUAUGCCGGGACGCUCUGGAAGGAAGCCGAUGGGCAGUGUGGAGCAGCGCCUGGCCCCUUCUGUCCUCCAAGAGGCCACAUCCGACACAAGGCCCCCAUUGUGUCUCGGGGAACAGUGACCCCCACAGUCCUGCGCAGGCUGGCCUUCUUCGGGGGAAGCGAGCGGCAUUGGCUCCCGCGACCCGAGCCCGGCCAGGGGCGCGGAGGCGGCGGCAGGCGGCUCAGGUUGCCGAAGCGCAGAGCCGCGCGCUCUAGGGCCGCGCGGGCGCCCGGGGCCCCGCACGCCGGCCUCGCGCGGGCGCCGCCGCACCUGGGGGCGGAGCCAGGCCCGCGGCCCGCCCC
Molecule: long non-coding RNA, 852 nt
Organism: Bos taurus (domestic cattle)
Lineage: Eukaryota; Metazoa; Chordata; Mammalia; Artiodactyla; Bovidae
Source: Ensembl